AGCAGCCGCGGUAAUUCCAGCUCCAAUAGCGUAUAUUAAAGUUGUUGCAGUUAAAAAGCUCGUAGUUGAAUUUCGGGAUCAAUACGUCGGUCGUGCUUAGGUACGUACUGGCGUAAUUGAUUUCUCCCUUCUGACGAACCAUGAUGUCAUUAACUUGGUGUCAUGGGAAAUCAGGACUGUUACUUUGAAAAAAUUAGAGUGUUUAAAGCAGGCUCACGCUUGAAUACAUUAGCAUGGAAUAAUGAAAUAGGACGUUCGAUCCUAUUUUGUUGGUUUUAGGAUCAACGUAAUGAUUAAUAGGGAUAGUUGGGGGCAUUAGUAUUCAAUUGUCAGAGGUGAAAUUCUUGGAUUUAUUGAAGACUAACUACUGCGAAAGCAUUUGCCAAGGAUGUUUUCAUUAAUCAAGAACGAAAGUUAGGGGAUCGAAGACGAUCAGAUACCGUCGUAGUCUUAACCAUAAACUAUGCCGACUAGGGAUCGGAUGAUGUUAAUUUUUAAUGA
RNAcentral lists this ribosomal RNA (501 nucleotides) under uncultured Glomus. RNAcentral describes it as "SSU rRNA". It matches the Rfam family "Eukaryotic small subunit ribosomal RNA", at positions 569 to 1074 of the family's 1831-position model. The record is from RNAcentral. Lineage: Eukaryota; Fungi; Glomeromycota; Glomeromycetes; Glomerales; Glomeraceae.